Cucurbita moschata (crookneck pumpkin) is the source of this 568-nucleotide long non-coding RNA. RefSeq lists it as uncharacterized. Lineage: Eukaryota; Viridiplantae; Streptophyta; Magnoliopsida; Cucurbitales; Cucurbitaceae. The record is from RefSeq and is a predicted model, not a curated record. The transcript has 3 exons.
GCCGAUGAGUUUUAAAAAUCUUGAAAGGAAGCCCGAAAGGAAAGCCUAGAGAGAACAAUAUCUGCCAGUAGUGGACUUAAAUUUGCUCUGAACUAGUAAACUGCAGUUUCUUGGCUUAUCGAGUGCUUUGAUCAGAUAUUAUCAACUUAUAGGUAGCUGCUCUAUGCAUUGUCACUUGCAUUCAUCAAUCCUUGUAUAUCUUAUUUGUUAUUUGUGUUCUUACUCUUGAAGCGACUCCAAGGCUCUUCGGCAUAGAGAUGACAUCCUUUGCUCAUAAGAAAAUCGAGAAACCAAAGCAGCAAGCAUUGCCCCAAGAACUGCAACUUUCCGCCAAUCAGGUGAAGAAACGAAUGAUUCGACAAUCGCCACGACUAGCAGGCCAAUCAAUACAAGACAGAUAUAUCGCCUCGUCUUCGAACCAGCAGCAUUUUCUUUAACUCCUCAAAAACUUGCAUCUGGCUCUCAAUGUUCUCCAUAAUCUGUUCAUUAAAACAAGAACUGGGUCAUAUUACAAACUGCAAAAUUCAGUGACAAAUGAGAAAGGAACCAAAUAUAGACCAACACCGAC